Molecule: transfer RNA, 65 nt
Filed under: Nesophrosyne sp. 23 GMB-2012
Lineage: Eukaryota; Metazoa; Arthropoda; Insecta; Hemiptera; Cicadellidae
Description: tRNA-Asp
Source: RNAcentral
GGGGGUCUAGUUAAAAUUAUAAAACAUUAGCUUGUCAAACUAAAAUUACCUAGGGGUGACUCUUU